GACGAACGCUGGCGGCGUGCCUAAUACAUGCGAGUUGAGCGAUGAAGCUUGGUGCUUGCACCAAUUUGAAGAGCAGCGAACGGGUGAGUAACGCGUGGGGAAUCUGCCUUUGAGCGGGGGACAACAUUUGGAAACGAAUGCUAAUACCGCAUAACAACUUUAAACAUAAGUUUUAAGUUUGAAAGAUGCAAUUGCAUCACUCAAAGAUGAUCCCGCGUUGUAUUAGCUAGUUGGUGAGGUAAAGGCUCACCAAGGCGAUGAUACAUAGCCGACCUGAGAGGGUGAUCGGCCACAUUGGGACUGAGACACGGCCCAAACUCCUACGGGAGGCAGCAGUAGGGAAUCGUCGGCAAGGGACGAAAGUCUGACCGAGCAACGCCGCGUGAGGGAAGAAGGGUUUCGGAUCGGAAAACUCUGUUGGUAGAGAAGAACGUUGGUGAGAGUGGAAAGCUCAUCAAGUGACGGUAACUACCCAGAAAGGGACGGCUAACUACGUG
This 497-nucleotide ribosomal RNA is filed under the name uncultured bacterium. RNAcentral describes it as "partial 16S ribosomal RNA". It matches the Rfam family "Bacterial small subunit ribosomal RNA", at positions 28 to 507 of the family's 1533-position model. The record is from RNAcentral.